Molecule: unclassified non-coding RNA, 344 nt
Filed under: soil metagenome
Description: partial contains 5.8S ribosomal RNA, internal transcribed spacer 2, and large subunit ribosomal RNA
Rfam family: 5.8S ribosomal RNA (bases 1-120)
Source: RNAcentral
GAUGAAGAACGCAGCGAAAUGCGAUAAGUAAUGUGAAUUGCAGAAUUCCGUGAAUCAUCGAAUCUUUGAACGCACAUUGCGCCCUCUGGUAUUCCGGGGGGCAUGCCUGUCCGAGCGUCAUUUGCAACCCUCAAGCCCGGCUUGUGUGAUGGGUGCCGUCCCCUACGGGACGCGCCCCGAAGGCAAUGGCGGCGUCGCGGUUAUCCGAUCAGCCAAAGUGUAUGGGGCUUUGUCACUCACUUUACGGCCCGGACCGGCGCCAGUCCGAAUCAAUCUUUUUUCUAAAGUUGACCUCGGAUCAGGUAGGGAUACCCGCUGAACUUAAGCAUAUCAUAAGCGGAGGA